GGUGAGGUGGCCGAGAGGCUGAAGGCGCUCCCCUGCUAAGGGAGUGUGCGGUCAAAAGCUGCAUCCGGGGUUCGAAUCCCCGCCUCACCGCCA
Molecule: transfer RNA, 93 nt
Filed under: Escherichia coli
Lineage: Bacteria; Pseudomonadati; Pseudomonadota; Gammaproteobacteria; Enterobacterales; Enterobacteriaceae
Also listed under: 1 other name
Description: tRNA-Ser
Rfam family: tRNA
About the family: Transfer RNA (tRNA) molecules are approximately 80 nucleotides in length. Their secondary structure includes four short double-helical elements and three loops (D, anti-codon, and T loops).
Source: RNAcentral